UAGGGAAUAUUUCACAAUGGGGGCAACCCUGAUGGAGCAAUGCCGCGUGUGUGAUGAAGGCUUUCGGGUCGUAAAGCACUGUUAUAAGGGAAGAACAUGUAGAUCAGGAAAUGGGUUUGCACUGACGGUACCUUAUCAGAAAGGGACGGCUAACUACGUGCCAGCAGCCGCGGUAAUACGUAGGUCCCAAGCGUUAUCCGGAAUUAUUGGGCGUAAAGGGUCCGUAGACGGUUUAUUAAGUCUGGUGUGAAAUCCAGUGGCUCAACCACUGACACGCAUCAGAUACUGGUAAACUAGAGUAUGUUAGAGGAUAGUGGAAUUCCAUGUGUAGCGGUGAAAUGCGUAGAUAUAUGGAGGAACACCAGUGGCGAAGGCGGCUAUCUGGGACAUUACUGACGUU
This 400-nucleotide ribosomal RNA is filed under the name uncultured bacterium. Its description in RNAcentral is "bacterial SSU rRNA". It matches the Rfam family "Bacterial small subunit ribosomal RNA", at positions 355 to 747 of the family's 1533-position model. The record is from RNAcentral.